This 72-nucleotide transfer RNA is filed under the name Diaphorina citri (Asian citrus psyllid). It matches the Rfam family "tRNA". From Rfam's summary of the family: Transfer RNA (tRNA) molecules are approximately 80 nucleotides in length. Their secondary structure includes four short double-helical elements and three loops (D, anti-codon, and T loops). The record is from Rfam by way of RNAcentral. Lineage: Eukaryota; Metazoa; Arthropoda; Insecta; Hemiptera; Psyllidae.
GACUGGUGGUGUAGUGGUUAACGCGUUGGACUUCGGAUCCGGAGGUUGAUGGUUCGAGUCCAAGUCAUGUCA